GGGUGCGUAGCGAAGUUGGAUAUCGCGUGUCCCUCCGGAGGAUAAGGUCGUGGGUUCGAAUCCCGCCGCACUCA
RNAcentral lists this transfer RNA (74 nucleotides) under Spirochaetales bacterium. Its description in RNAcentral is "tRNA-Arg". It matches the Rfam family "tRNA". Rfam says of the family: Transfer RNA (tRNA) molecules are approximately 80 nucleotides in length. The record is from RNAcentral. Lineage: Bacteria; Pseudomonadati; Spirochaetota; Spirochaetia; Spirochaetales. RNAcentral also lists the same sequence under 1 other name.